CAAACAAAGGCGCAUACGAUG
This 21-nucleotide non-coding RNA is filed under the name Arabidopsis thaliana (thale cress). Lineage: Eukaryota; Viridiplantae; Streptophyta; Magnoliopsida; Brassicales; Brassicaceae. The record is from RNAcentral.